This 436-nucleotide ribosomal RNA is filed under the name uncultured Alphaproteobacteria bacterium. Its description in RNAcentral is "bacterial SSU rRNA". It matches the Rfam family "Bacterial small subunit ribosomal RNA", at positions 46 to 526 of the family's 1533-position model. Lineage: Bacteria; Pseudomonadati; Pseudomonadota; Alphaproteobacteria. The record is from RNAcentral.
GCCUAACACAUGCAAGUCGAGCGGGCGUAGCAAUACGUCAGCGGCAGACGGGUGAGUAACGCGUGGGAACGUACCUUUUGGUUCGGAACAACACAGGGAAACUUGUGCUAAUACCGGAUAAGCCCUUACGGGGAAAGAUUUAUCGCCGAAAGAUCGGCCCGCGUCUGAUUAGCUAGUUGGUGAGGUAACGGCUCACCAAGGCGACGAUCAGUAGCUGGUCUGAGAGGAUGAUCAGCCACAUUGGGACUGAGACACGGCCCAAACUCCUACGGGGGGCAGCAGUGGGGAAUAUUGGACAAUGGGCGCAAGCCUGAUCCAGCCAUGCCGCGUGAGUGAUGAAGGCCCUAGGGUUGUAAAGCUCUUUUGUGCGGGAAGAUAAUGACGGUACCGCAAGAAUAAGCCCCGGCUAACUUCGUGCCAGCAGCCGCGGUAAUAC